GGUAAGGAUCUUACUCAAAUUAGUGUCUAUUUUGACAAUAACACCGCAGCAUUAACAGAACUUGACUAGUACCUAGUGGUCAGGAGUAUUUAGGCAGUGCCUUACUGUGUGAAGGAAAGGCUGCUGCUUUCUUUUCUGUUCUUUUUUUGAGACAGUCUUGCUCUGUCUCCCAGGCUGGAGUGCAGUGGUGUGAUCUUAGCUCACUGCAACCUCUGCCUCCCAGCAAUUCUCCUGCCCCAGCCUCCCCAGUAACUGGAAUUAUAGGCGCCCG
RNAcentral lists this long non-coding RNA (271 nucleotides) under Homo sapiens (human). RNAcentral's name for it is "LHRI_LNC80.1". The record is from RNAcentral. Lineage: Eukaryota; Metazoa; Chordata; Mammalia; Primates; Hominidae.